GUCAGGCCGUGCUGGGUGCGGGCACCUCGGGGGCAGCUGCCGGCGCAGUAGCGGAAAGUGACUUUCUCAUCUGAAGCGUAGCCCAGGCCCAGCUCUGCCACGGGCAGGGUCAGGCUCCACAGCUGGCAUGGGCUGCCAGGGGCUCUGCGCAGGCGGGCACGAGGGUGGCGGGUGCCUGGGGAGAAAAAGGAUGCUAACAAAGGCAGGGUCCCGGCAGGAAGGAGUUGGGAGGUUGAAGGCUUCCCGGGGGUCCUUACCCAGUGGUGGCCUCCAGUUCCCCCUGCCCUCUGCUAUGUGCUCAGGCAAGAACUCUCCCUCCACCAACGGAGCACCUCGGGCAUCAGGGCCCCAGCCGAGGCCCAGCUGCAGCGACAGGAGCAGCAGUGAAGCCAACAGGACUCUCCCUGUGGCCAUGGUGACAGGCAGGUCCUGAGGCUGGGGAGCCCCGGCCCUGAAUUUAUACCCUGCCUGGGGCGGGGGGAGAGGUGCCCAUGUCCCAGUCUGGUUUGUCCCAGGUUCUCAGGUCCAAGCAUGGGCUCCUUCUGCCCCACACCCCGUCCUUUAGGAGUUAAGGGCUCGUCCCACCACUCCCUGUCCAGACAUUCCACAGACCCGUUUCCAACACCCCCUGAUUUACGAGUCAUCUGGCAGCCAGGGCCAAGCCUGGGGUGGAUGACAGGUGUCCCCACCCUACCUGCUGUCUGGAGGGGUCCCAACCCAUGAAGGGAAGAGCAGGGACCCAGGAGCCCCCAUGGGUGCUGCAUGGGGCCAACACGGGCUGGGAAGGGGGGCUUGGCAGGUGGCAAGGCGGCAGGACCCUGCUGUCGUGGCCGCGCCAGGGAUUAAGCCAUCAUGCCUGUCUCCCGCCCUGGCUGAGCCAGCAUCAAAACAGGAAGAGGGAGAGGCUGGGGGACAGCCAGGCGCAGGGACACGGGGGCAGAGACUCUGUGGAAGGCCAAGCCGGGACCCCAUGGCUGCGGCUUCAUCCAGGGGUCAAAGAGCAUCACAGCCUGAGGGGAGGCCGAGUGUGAGAUGGAGCCCACGGCAGGUCAUGUACCGGGGAUGGAACCCAGAGCCCUGCGCAUUCGUGCCAAGCGCUCGCCACUGAGCGCCAUCCCCACCCCAUUAUCGUGAGACGAGGUCUUCCUAAGUUACUCAAACCACCGGCUUCGAACUUGCAGGCUUCCCUCGGCUUCCCAAGUAGCUGGGGUUAAAUAUCGGGUUUGUGUGUGUGUGUGUUUUGCUUUUUGAGACAGUCUCCUUAUGUAGUUCAAACGUGUGACAAUCCUGCUGCCUCAGCUUCCUGGUACUGGAAUGAAAGGCAUGUGCCACCAUGGCUGGCAGAAGUUGGUUUUUGUUUUUGCAGUGCUGGGGUGAAACAUGGCAGGCAAACACACUCUUAACACUAAGCAACCCCCCCCACCAACUCUUUUUUAUUUUGAGACAGCAUCUUGCUAAAUAAAUUGCCCAGAGUGGUUUCAAACUCAA
This is a non-coding RNA of Heterocephalus glaber (naked mole-rat), 1488 nucleotides long. The record is from RefSeq and is a predicted model, not a curated record. NCBI's taxonomy places the organism in Eukaryota, Metazoa, Chordata, Mammalia, Rodentia, Bathyergidae.